This is a long non-coding RNA of Brienomyrus brachyistius, 3017 nucleotides long. RefSeq lists it as uncharacterized. The transcript has 4 exons. The record is from RefSeq and is a predicted model, not a curated record. Lineage: Eukaryota; Metazoa; Chordata; Actinopteri; Osteoglossiformes; Mormyridae.
AUGAAGCGCAAGACCAUGAGAGAAGCGAACGACUGAAGCUCAGUUCUUCUACGCCGCUGGACGAUUCCUUCAUUUGACUGUUGUGGAAAGAAUACGGCAAAUCCCCCGGCUAUCAAAAGAAGGUCUGAAUCUGUCCUGGCUGUGACACAUAUGGCUUGAGAAUUUGGGUGGCCUAGGGGUUGGUUGUUAUCUUUGGUUAUCUAGCUGUAUGAGUGGUGUACAUUCUUCAUAAAGCUAGAUAACCGAAAGUAACAAGAAUCCCAUUACACUCCUGAAAGGCAACAAGACUUCCUUCAUCCCUGGGAAUGCAAAAAAGAAGAGAAAAGAAUGCAAUAGUAGAAACCAAAUCCAACAAAGAAGCAAACGGAAGAGAGCAGAGCGAAAGUAAAACAGAAAGGAAAUGAGCGCGCACGGUUCCCAGGAAGCGCAGGGAGACCGUGAAACAGAGGAGGAGGGGCUGCGAUUUUUACACCGGCUUUGCGCGGCCACGUCUGUCGACGCGUUUGCCUCUUCCCCUCCCUUCCCGGCUGCCUGCCUGUACGGGGGGAUGCCGCCCUCGCCACCAUCUUAGGAUAAGGCUGGCAUGAAAUGGCAGUGGGACCCCAAGCAGGUGAAAGAUGACUGGCAAAGGAUUGGCUCAUAAUGCUGAUAAUUGUGAGAGGACAGGUAGACACUGAUGUCAUGCUGCCAGAGGACUUUCAUAAUUGCCUGCGUGAGCAGUGUUGGUUUUCACAAUUGCUCAAAAAGAUCUCAGACCCAGAAUGAGGCUCCCUUGUUUCGUAUUUAACUGUCACGCAGUCUUGUGCACCUGCAUUUGAAUGUGGAAGAACUUCAUCGACUUAACAUGUGGGACAAUUGUAGUUUUGUUUUGAGGAAAUAUCUUCAAGGGAUAUCUGUCCAUCGCCACAGGAUGUAGGAGCUACUGUUCAUAAUAUAUGCUGGAAAAGGACUUGUAGUGCAGGUGGAUCUACGUGGAGACUGCCGCUGACUGGACCAUUAAGGUCUCAAUUCCAAGUCCUCAAUUCAUCAAGGUAUCAAACUUGUAAAAAAAAAAAAAAAAAAACAUCAAGUUUUCAGGCUAAUAAAACAUAACUUGAAGGUUCCACUGGAAGAACACAACGUUUUGAUGAAUAGCAAACAAAACUAGUCAUAGAGUCUAGUACCCAUAAACUGACAGUAUGAUCCAUCAUGGAGGACUUAACAUAAGUAUAAUUAUUCAUCUGAAUGGAACCUCGCCAUUGUCUUUGAAGCUUUUUCUAAGUUACAGCUAAUUACUUCAUUGUACCUAAAUAUUUUCAGUCAAAACGAGACCGAAUGUAUGAGAUGUAGAACGCAUGCUAGGGAACUGUUCUGUAUUUUGCUAGGAGAACAGGAUCAGCUAAAACGCUGUUGUGAAAGUGAUUGCUGCAGUUAAAAGCAUGUUCAGUUGUAACUGUCAUGCUCCUUGUCCAGCAUAAGCCAGAUGCCGUAAUGAAACAUGAAAUAUGAGACAAUUCUUCAUGGGAGCCAACAGUCUGCACUAAAUCUUUGCACAAUUAUACUGUACAGAAUAGACAACUCAAGGAGCUGUUCCUUAUUCAAUCUGUGCCUGGAAUACUGAGAGCACCAUGAGAUCCUUGAAUCUUUCCCUUUUUCAGUGGUGUUUGCAGCUUAUUCUGUAUUUAGGACCCUUUAUUACUUUGUCGUGAGAGCCGCAUAAUAAUCUAAGAUAUGCAAGUGUGAAACUCACAAUACCAGUGAAGGAAACUGCACUGCGAUAGAGCAGCUCACUGUGUUCAGUGAUACACAGCUGAAGGAAUGAGCUGCUAUCUUUACUCUCUAUGCAACUGCGUGAGGCCGGCAAUCAACUGAAACUGGGGAGGGAAUCGCGAGCAACAAUCACGGGUAGUAACUCGCAGCAGUGGGAAAAGUAGGGGCUUUUGGUGCCGCCACGUUUAAAGAUAAUUGUAGAAGUCAGAAGAAAUAAACAUGAUGACUGGCAUUCAGACUCGCCACUGUAAAGUCCAGUAGAGAUUUGCAGUGUACUUUUCACAUUAAUGCAAUCCAUGCACAUGAAAACAUAGAGAAGCGGUCAUUAUGAAUUCCAGUUUUGUGACCAUACUGCUUCUAAUUUGCUAAUAGGUAUGUGGCCAAAAAUGUGCAGCUUCAGAAGCCCCUAAAUAGAGUUUAACCUGAAUGACAAGAAAUUAUAUCUCACACUGUAUACACAGUGAAUAGCUUCACUGGCACUAGGAAAGCAGAUGUCAAAUCACAUCAGAUUUCAUAGUGUUAGCGACCAAGGAUCUGAAAGCUCUGGCUGAGUCACUCUAAGCUUUCUACUUGAGCUGAAACCAGCUUCUGUCAUGACACCAGUUGUAACACUUAGAUCUGCAUUCCAGUGAAGUCCGUUUUAAUAACUAUAUCCCUUCAAAUUAGAAACCCAGUGCACUUACGGUGAGUGAAUAUUUUUAUUCACUGGAAAUUUUACAAACUAUUUAUAUACAUAAAUAUAUUGCAAUCAUUAAACUAUAAUUUGCAAUUAUAAUAUUUUAUGGACCCUGUGCAAUACAUAUUCCCUCAAUAUAUACUAUUCUUGUAGUUUACUUUCUAAUAACUUUACAUAGAUAAAAUUAUAUACAUAAAAUUAUCAAUGCUUUUGAUAAUCCGUGAUUUGUGCACAAAUCUGUUUUUAAAACCAUUGUGUUCAGCAUAUAUCUGCAUACCCGUUAACUGAAACGAUUGGGAUUCCUACGGAUUAUACGAAUCUUAUCAGAUAGAUUGUGGAGACCCUGUCAAUUUACAGCACAAAUCAGUUCAGUUGGUUGCAGCUUUUGUUUACAAAUUUUUCUCUUUGCACUUAGAAAUGCCUUUGUAAAUUGUUGAGUGUUCCGUUUACUGAUGCAUGUGCAUUGUUUGUCUAUAAAUGACUUUUGUUUGCUGGAUCUGCACUGUAUGAACCCACCCUGUAGACCCCCCGUGUGUGACUGUACAUGGGCUGUACUGAACACAGUUAAUAAAAGUUUACAUUGAAACAAACA